UUGGAUCCAGACUUUGAUUCUGGCUCAGGAUGAACGCUAGCUACAGGCUUAACACAUGCAAGUCGAGGGGAAACGAUAUUGGAAGCUUGCUUCCGAUAGGCGUCGACCGGCGCACGGGUGAGUAACGCGUAUCCAACCUGCCCAUCACUUGGGAAUAACCUUGCGAAAGUAAGACUAAUGCCCAAUGACAUUUAUAGAAGGCAUCUGAAAUGAAUUAAAGAUUUAUCGGUGAUGGAUGGGGAUGCGUCUGAUUAGCUUGUUGGCGGGGUAACGGCCCACCAAGGCGACGAUCAGUAGGGGUUCUGAGAGGAAGGUCCCCCACAUUGGAACUGAGACACGGUCCAAACUCCUACGGGAGGCAGCAGUGAGGAAUAUUGGUCAAUGGGCGAGAGCCUGAACCAGCCAAGUAGCGUGCAGGAUGACGGCCCUAUGGGUUGUAAACUGCUUUUAUAGGGGAAUAAAGUGAGCCACGUGUGGUUUUUUGCAUGUACCCUACGAAUAAGGACCGGCUAAUUCCGUGCCAGCAGCCGCGGUAAUACGGAAGGUCCGGGCGUUAUCCGGAUUUAUUGGGUUUAAAGGGAGCGUAGGCCGGAGAUUAAGCGUGUUGUGAAAUGUAGAUGCUCAACAUCUGAACUGCAGCGCGAACUGGUUUCCUUGAGUACGCAUAAAGUGGGCGGAAUUCGUGGUGUAA
RNAcentral lists this ribosomal RNA (691 nucleotides) under uncultured organism. RNAcentral describes it as "bacterial SSU rRNA". It matches the Rfam family "Bacterial small subunit ribosomal RNA", at positions 1 to 678 of the family's 1533-position model. The record is from RNAcentral.